Molecule: ribosomal RNA, 430 nt
Filed under: uncultured bacterium
Lineage: Bacteria
Description: bacterial SSU rRNA
Rfam family: Bacterial small subunit ribosomal RNA
Source: RNAcentral
GUGGGGAAUAUUGCACAAUGGGCGAAAGCCUGAUGCAGCAACGCCGCGUGAGGGACGACGGCCUUCGGGUUGUAAACCUCUUUUAGUAGGGAAGAAGCGAAAGUGACGGUACCUGCAGAAAAAGCACCGGCUAACUACGUGCCAGCAGCCGCGGUAAUACGUAGGGUGCAAGCGUUAUCCGGAAUUAUUGGGCGUCAAGAGCUCGUAGGCGGUCUGUCGCGUCUGCUGUGAAAACUGGAGGCUCAACCUCCAGCCUGCAGUGGGUACGGGCAGACUAGAGUGCGGUAGGGGAGAUUGGAAUUCCUGGUGUAGCGGUGGAAUGCGCAGAUAUCAGGAGGAACACCGAUGGCGAAGGCAGAUCUCUGGGCCGUAACUGACGCUGAGGAGCGAAAGCGUGGGGAGCGAACAGGAUUAGAAACCCCUGUAGUCC